CCUACGGAGGCAGCAGUAGGGAAUCUUCCACAAUGGGCGAAAGCCUGAUGGAGCAACGCCGCGUGAGUGAUGAAGGCCUUCGGGUUGUAAAACUCUGUCAUUCGGGACGAACCGGAGUCUGAGGAAAUGCAGACUCUCUGACGGUACCGGAGGAGGAAGCCCCGGCUAACUACGUGCCAGCAGCCGCGGUAAUACGUAGGGGGCAAGCGUUGUCCGGAUUCACUGGGCGUAAAGCGCGCGCAGGCGGUGAUGUAAGUCUGAGGUGAAAACCCGAAGCUCAACUUCGGGACUGCCUUGGAUACUGCGUCACUUGAGGAUAGGAGAGGCAAGGGGAAUUCCACGUGUAGCGGUGAAAUGCGUAGAGAUGUGGAGGAACACCUGUGGCGAAGGCGCCUUGCUGGCCUAUUUCUGACGCUGAGGCGCGAAAGCGUGGGGAGCAAACAGGAUUAGAUACCCUGGUAGUCCACGCUGUAAACGAUGAGUGCUAGGUGUAGGUGGGCUCAUACCCAUCUGUGCCGAAAGCUAACGCAUUAAAGCACUCCGCCUUGGGGAGUUACGGUUGCAGACUUGAACUUAAAUUGAAUUGACGGCNGAGAGNGCGAGACGACACGAGGAGAG
This 618-nucleotide ribosomal RNA is filed under the name uncultured bacterium. Its description in RNAcentral is "bacterial SSU rRNA". It matches the Rfam family "Bacterial small subunit ribosomal RNA", at positions 338 to 948 of the family's 1533-position model. The record is from RNAcentral.